AUGUUGCAAACUGCUCGGCACGGUGAUCGGACGACUGCUGCAUGUGCCAUCCAAUGGCUGCGAGGGCGGCCGAUCCGAUCAAAAUAUCAUCCGACCGAGGCAUGCCACUGUCCUACACUAUAUAUCAUAGCGGGUCCUAAAAUUUUGGUGGCCAAAAUUGGUAUCUCCGGGACCCCCUUCCCCUUCCCUCCCGGUCGCUCCCGCGAGCGACGCGGAGGGGAAACCCUAGCCGCCGUCGCAGGCCCCCCUCCUCCUCGACUCCUCCCUCGUCGCCGCGGGCUCGCGCUGACGGGCGAAGCCCGGUCAGCCUCGGCGGCGGCGGGGCCUUCCUUCCCCUGCUCGCUAGGGCCGACGCGGGUCGGGCGGCGGCGCGUUGGGCUCGGUGGUGCUCUAUUCCGCGUGGUUGCGCCUGGCGUGGUGGCGGCGGCCACUGGUGGAGCGCGUCGGCCCCCCUUCGGCGGGUGGCUGAUGCAGAUGCGGGGAGCGCCGUUCCUGGCCGCGUGGGCGGCGGAUCGGCGGCGAGCGUGGCUAGCUCCUGGGGCUUCCCUGUUUGCCCUUGGAGCAGAUCUGGCGAUGGUGCUUCCUCUUUGGGGGUGGUGGUCGAGGCUUUGGCACGGGAGGUGGCUGCCUGAUAUCGUCAGUGGUGUCCAUGCUCGGCCACUUGCGGUUGAAGUUUGCGCCGGCGUGCGGCGUUGGCGAUGCUCGGUGGUGCGGCUGCCUGGUGCGGUAGUCGUGCUUGUCGUCCCCUCCCGGCAACCUGUUGGUCCUGGUCAUGCGAGCUCAGGGGUGAGCGACUCUGCCUGUCGACGGUGUAGUGUCCUCCGAUCCAGGACUAGAGGGCAGGUGGCUCUCUUCGGAGGCGGAUCUGGGAUCGAUCCACACCUGCACCGGAGAGGAGCGGAUCGGAAGAGCUUUAUGGCACUCGAUCUGGGAUCCAUGUUCCUAGACCUAGCUGCUGCGGCUGCUGCGUAUGGCCGCCUCGACGAGGACGACGCCCACACGAAGCCUGACUCCAGUCAAAUCCCACAGGGUCCCCCGUCCCUGAACCCCCCUGCUUAUGGCUACCCCGACGGCGGCGGCGACCGGCCACCCUUCGUCUUCAUCGAGCCAUACGCCUACUUUGCGGACCGCUGCAACGCCACCACCGCCGGCUGCAGCAUGGAGGGUCUCCGUCUCCGGGGGGAACAUCGAGGUCACCUUCUGCACCGUCCAACCACCGCAGGUCUCCUACGGUCCUACCUCUGCGUCCACGCCACCGCCUACGACCACACCGUGUUCGCCGUCCGGCCUUCCAUAGUCACCACACAGACUAACGGCGGCCUCGUCCUCCUAUGCGUCGUGGUCGGUGACCGCCCAUCCGAUGCCAUGUUUCGCCACAAACGACACUACUUCGUCUAUGAUGCCAGCGUCCCCGAGCUCAAGCACAUCAAGCAGCCCGGCGACGAUCACCCAGUCAACGACCAGUCGUUUGCCAUUGUGCGCAAACCUGAACCUGACAGCACCUACGUCCUUGCCGCACAAGCUGGUGUGUUCGGAUACCGCGACCGUUCUGCUCGCCUCUGCCUAUAUCACUCAGGUACCAACUCCUGGAGCAAACUGCCGGUGAAUGUCGAUUCAGUCCCCUACGACAACGAGUUCACCACAUACAGGCAUUCACCAUCGGAGGAGCUGCACCGCGCGGACGUGCAACAUGAAAUACCACUCGGAGAAUGUUGGUUCAGAGUUGAGCAAACUGUAUACAUGCAUUUGGGUCUCAAGAAGCUGAUUUUCCUUCAGGUAGAGGAAGACUUCAUUCAGCGCCUCACUGAAUAUAUACUGCUUGCCGCCGAAACAAGUGAUUGUACAUAUGUGGUGAUGUGCGCGCGCAGGCUCACCCACUGCCAGUUCCGCACACCACGAUCACUCCACCACUUCAGUCCCACUGUGGCUGCCGCAAGCCAUGAUUUUGCCUGCUCCCAUAAAGCACACAACAAAGGUCUAUUGAAUUUCAAGGUGCAUCAACUCAGUAUACUUACAUUUAACAUUUUACUACCGGAGGCUGUCGUCAACAGAUUACACCGAGAACAAGCGAUGUUGAAGCCUGACGAAAUUUGCCGACAUGAGGCGCACGUGACUCGUCAGUCCGCAAGUGCAAGUGCAAGUGCAUGGCAAGUGGUGAGGUGA
Molecule: ribosomal RNA, 2163 nt
Filed under: Triticum aestivum (bread wheat)
Lineage: Eukaryota; Viridiplantae; Streptophyta; Magnoliopsida; Poales; Poaceae
Description: partial small subunit ribosomal RNA
Source: RNAcentral